This 388-nucleotide ribosomal RNA is filed under the name uncultured bacterium. Its description in RNAcentral is "bacterial SSU rRNA". It matches the Rfam family "Bacterial small subunit ribosomal RNA", at positions 28 to 417 of the family's 1533-position model. The record is from RNAcentral.
GACGAACGCUGGCGGCGUGCUUAACACAUGCAAGUCGAGCGGUAAGGCCCUUUCGGGGGUACACGAGCGGCGAACGGGUGAGUAACACGUGGGUGACCUGCCCUUAGCUCUGGGAUAAGCCUGGGAAACUGGGUCUAAUACCGGAUAUGACUCCAUGACGCAUGUUGUGGGGUGGAAAGCCUUGUGCGGCUAGGGAUGGGCCUGCGGCCUAUCAGCUUGUUGGUGGGGUGAUGGCCUACCAAGGCGACGACGGGUAGCCGGCCUGAGAGGGCGACCGGCCACACUGGGACUGAGACACGGCCCAGACUCCUACGGGAGGCAGCAGUGGGGAAUCUUGCGCAAUGGGCGAAAGCCUGACGCAGCGACGCCGCGUGGGGGAUGACGGCCU